Molecule: ribosomal RNA, 499 nt
Filed under: uncultured bacterium
Lineage: Bacteria
Description: partial 16S ribosomal RNA
Rfam family: Bacterial small subunit ribosomal RNA
Source: RNAcentral
GACGAACGCUGGCGGCGUGCCUAAUACAUGCAAGUCGAGCGAAGUUUUUCUGGUGCUUGCACUAGAAACACUUAGCGGCGAACGGGUGAGUAACACGUAAAGAACCUGCCUCAUAGACUGGGACAACUAUUGGAAACGAUAGCUAAUACCGGAUAACAGUAUUUCUCGCAUGAGAGAUAUUUAAAAGUUGGUUAUGCUAGCACUAUGAGAUGGCUUUGCGGUGCAUUAGCUAGUUGGUGGGGUAAAGGCCCACCAAGGCGACGAUGCAUAGCCGACCUGAGAGGGUGAUCGGCCACACUGGGACUGAGACACGGCCCAGACUCCUACGGGAGGCAGCAGUAGGGAAUCUUCCGCAAUGGGCGAAAGCCUGACGGAGCAACGCCGCGUGAGUGAAGAAGGAUUUCGGUUCGUAAAGCUCUGUUGUUAGGGAAGAAUGGAUAUGUAGUAACUAUACAUGUAAGAGACGGUACCUAACCAGAAAGCCACGGCUAACUACGUG